Cucumis sativus (cucumber) is the source of this 759-nucleotide long non-coding RNA. RefSeq lists it as uncharacterized. Lineage: Eukaryota; Viridiplantae; Streptophyta; Magnoliopsida; Cucurbitales; Cucurbitaceae. The transcript is spliced from 2 exons. The record is from RefSeq and is a predicted model, not a curated record.
UUUAGGGUUUCCAUUAUGCGUCUUCACUUCAUCUUCCAUUCGUUUUUCUCUCCGGUUUACUUCCUCUCAACGCGUCUUCAUCCUUCGCAACUCGUCUUCAAUCUCUGUACACUACUCGUCCUUUAAGCCGUUUAAUCCUUCCAAUCGAAAUCAUCCCCUCUCUUCAAUCCUUGUAACGACAUUGAUUUUUCUUUCAUUUCGAAAAUUUUUUUUCCCUUUUUUCGUCAACUCACCUUCAACAUAUUCCGGUUUAGGUUUGGCCGUCGUUUUCUUCUCAGCAAUUUUUACUUCUUCUAUCUUCCUUUCUCUCACACUCUUCGUCCUCCCAGUUAUCGUUAGGCUUCGCUCACCGUGUUGCCUUCGAAACAAAUGGGUCUUCUUUCGGUUUCGUUGAUCGGCUGUGUUUUACAUUUUGCCUCCGAAACCUUUUCGUUAUUGGUGAACAUGCAAUCCAACUCGGUUUUCCCCUUUCAGAAGACCUUGCCGCUUGGACUCCCACUUGCCGAUCAUGUAAUUUUUUUCCCUCUGAUUUGGACACAUUCUAAACCACGAAUACUAUCUGCAGUUGGGAUGUUCGAGCAAGGUAUGGUCCGAGGAUAUCUGACUUCCUACUUCGUUCGUUAGAGGUACGAGGCAUUGGAGCUUUAUAUUGUACUACUUUAUUUUCAAGUAUUGUCAGUUAAUACUUUUGCAUUCUUCUAUAUUGUACUUCGGACUUUAGUCAGUAUAUUUGGUAAUAAAGAAUUCUAUUUUUUUUCA